GUGAAUAUAGUUUAAGAAAAACCCUAGAUUGUGAUUCUAGAAACAAAGGUUGAACCCCUUUUAUUCACC
Molecule: transfer RNA, 69 nt
Filed under: Pelophylax nigromaculatus (dark-spotted frog)
Lineage: Eukaryota; Metazoa; Chordata; Amphibia; Anura; Ranidae
Description: tRNA-His
Rfam family: tRNA
About the family: Transfer RNA (tRNA) molecules are approximately 80 nucleotides in length.
Source: RNAcentral